Molecule: long non-coding RNA, 545 nt
Filed under: Homo sapiens (human)
Lineage: Eukaryota; Metazoa; Chordata; Mammalia; Primates; Hominidae
Description: HSALNT0192438
Source: RNAcentral
UCUAUGUUGACUUUGUGAUAAAAGUACUAUCGAGUUCUUACACUAAUCUUUUGAAAUAGACUUUUCACCAUAGUAGUCUAUAAGAGAAAACAUUGUUUCUUUAAGUCAAUCACAAAUUUACCUGCAUCCUACACAUCAAACUUUAAAACAUUUUGUAAUUUCAAUAGCUUUAUAAUUUACACCUAAAAUCUUCUCAUCUGAAAAAAACAAAUCUUUAUUUGUUUUCAGGAGCAUCUUCUCAUACUUUAUAUUCAGAGAUGAUACUAUGUGCAAUAGUGUCAUCAGAACUAUAAGUUACUAUUUAUACUAUAAAAUUUUCAUUGAUUUCAUUGAUUCAUUCAUAUAUUUUCCAGUUGUUCAUGUGACAAAGAUCCAAAAGCAAUUGCAACAAAAGCAAAAAUGGACAAAAGGGACCUCAUUAAACUAAAGAGCUUCUGCACGGCAAAAGAAACUAUCAACAGAGUAAAAAGACAACUUACUAAAUGGGAGAAAAUGUUUGCAAACUAUGCAUCUGACAAAGAUUUAAUAUUCAGAAUCUAUAAGGA